GAUGAACGCUGGCGGUCUGCUUAACACAUGCAAGUCGAACGAACUCUUCGGAGUGAGUGGCGGACGGGUGAGUAACGCGUGAGAAUCUGCCUGUGGCCGGGACAACCACUGGAAACGGUGGCUAAUACCGGAGUUGAGCCGAAAAGGUAAAAGAUUUAUUGCCCACAGAUGAGCUCGCGUCUGAUUAGCUAGUUGGUAAGGUAAAAGCGUUACCAAGGCGACGAUCAGUAGCUGGUCUGAGAGGAUGAGCAGCCACACUGGGACUGAGACACGGCCCAGACUCCUACGGGAGGCAGCAGUGGGAAUUUUUCCGCAAUGGGCGAAAGCCUGACGGAGCAAGACCGCGUGGGGAGAGGUUUUUGGAUCGUAAACCCUUUGUCAAGGAAGAAGCUCUGACGGUACUUGACGAA
RNAcentral lists this ribosomal RNA (410 nucleotides) under uncultured bacterium. RNAcentral's name for it is "bacterial SSU rRNA". It matches the Rfam family "Bacterial small subunit ribosomal RNA", at positions 28 to 486 of the family's 1533-position model. The record is from RNAcentral.